Molecule: long non-coding RNA, 1342 nt
Filed under: Salmo salar (Atlantic salmon)
Lineage: Eukaryota; Metazoa; Chordata; Actinopteri; Salmoniformes; Salmonidae
Description: lncRNA (ENSSSAG00000113275.1)
Source: RNAcentral
ACUGAACCAUAUUCCUAGACUGUGACAAGUCGUACUGAACCAUAUUCCUAGACUGUGACAAGUCGUACUGAACCAUAUUCCUAGACUGUGACAAGUCGUACUGAACCAUAUUCCUAGACUGUGACAAAGGUGACUGAUGAUGGUGACAUUACGUAACUAACCAGCAACCCAUCAACAGUCUACUGUACCUACUGUCUGAGUAAAGGAUUUGGCAUCAUUAAACCCAACAGAAACACAGUCUCAAUGAGAGGGGAUGUCACCGCUGAAUACACACACCUUGGCUACGUCCUAAAUGGCCCCUAUGCCCCAUGUAGUGCACUACUUACGACCAGGGCCCUAUGGGUUCUAUGGUGAACUAAAUAGGGAAUAACAGGGUGGCAUUUGGGACACAGUCCUUGUUUUGUUGCAGAUAGAACACACUUUAGGAGUCACCAUGGCAGUGUCAGAAACACGCUGUAAAAUAUCAACAUCAAUCAAAACAAAACAACUAAAUAAAUCUUAGUAAAAAUCUGAGUUUGAGAGACAGGAUAUAUGAAACACAUUUUAUUAACCACACAUUCUAAUAUUUAUUUUGAAAAAUGAAUCUGUGUUUACACCUUCAAUUUAAUUACACUUAGAAAGGUUUUGCAGACACACGUUAGUGUUUUAACUAGUUCUGAACUACAAAGUCACUUGUAGUUCUUUUUACGUAGACACUGGGGAUUGUGGGAGUUGGAGUUUGGUAGCCAUUUUGUUUAGACGGAUCACUCCUUACUUCUCUUCAGACACUGUGCAAAUUGUUACAGUCAUCUAUAUCUAGCUACUCUUCUACAUAUAAAUAUAUAUUUAUUGAUGUGUUUGCAUAUACUUUAGAACAUAUCUGUAGUAGACUGUCGGCGUAACUAUGAUCUUUCUGGACAUCUUUCAACAGAAUGAAAAGGAGAGAAAGAUACACAGAAAUGAAAGUGUUGGCCGGCAAUCUGAGACAGUUUAGACUCACAAAACAAAUGAUGCAUCACACCUUCAUAGGAACCCUAGUUAGGAUAAAAGACAUGAUGAACCACCCUACAUAGGAACCCUAGUUAGGAUAACAGACAUGAUGAACCACCCUACAUAGGAACCCUAGUUAGGAUAACAGACAUGAUGAACCACCCUACAUAGGAACCCUAGUUAGGAUAACAGACAUGAACCACCCUACAUAGGAACCCUAGUUAGGAUAACAGACAUGAUGAACCACCCUACAUAGGAACCGUAGUUAGGAUAACAGACAUGAUGAACCACCCUACAUAGGAACCCUAGUUAGGAUAACAGACAUGAUGAACCACCCUACAUAGGAACCCUAGUUAGGAUAACAGACAUGAUG